GAUGAAGAACGCAGCGAAAUGCAAUACGUAAUGUGAAUUGCAGAAUUCAGUGAAUCAUCGAAUCUUUGAACGCAUAUUGCGCUCUCUGGUAUUCCGGAGAGCAUGCUUGUUUGAGUAUCAGUAAACACCUCAACUUCCAUAUCUUUUUUGAAAUGGGAGUUGGACUUGAGUGAUCCCAACGCUUUUCCUCACCGAAAAGUGGCGGGUUACUUGAAAUGCAGGUGCAGCUGGACUUUUCUCUGAGCUAUAAGCAUAUCUAUUUAGUCUGCCUAAAAAACAGAUUAUUACCUUUGCUGCAGCUAACAUAAAGGAGAUUAGUUCUUGUGCUGACUGAUGCAGGAUUCACAAAGACAGCUUCGGCCGACUUUGUAAACUCGAUCUCAAAUCAAGUAAGACUACCCGCUGAACUUAAGCAUAUCAAUAAGCGGAGGA
RNAcentral lists this unclassified non-coding RNA (432 nucleotides) under soil metagenome. RNAcentral describes it as "partial contains 5.8S ribosomal RNA, internal transcribed spacer 2, and large subunit ribosomal RNA". The stretch from base 1 to 120 matches the Rfam family "5.8S ribosomal RNA", at positions 35 to 154 of the family's 154-position model. The record is from RNAcentral.